RNAcentral lists this ribosomal RNA (268 nucleotides) under uncultured bacterium. Its description in RNAcentral is "partial small subunit ribosomal RNA". It matches the Rfam family "Bacterial small subunit ribosomal RNA", at positions 26 to 285 of the family's 1533-position model. The record is from RNAcentral.
AGAAUCAACGCUGGCGGCGUGCCUAACACAUGCAAGUCGAACGCGAAAGUGGAGCAAUCCAUGAGUAGAGUGGCAAACGGGUGAGUAACGCGUGGGCGACCUGCCUUCGAGUGGGGGAUAACAUUCCGAAAGGGAUGCUAAUACCGCAUAACAUCCUUCGUUUAGAUAUGAGGUGAUCAAAGCUGGGAGCAAUCCUGGCGCUUAGAGAGGGGCCCGCGUCCGAUUAGCUAGUUGGUGGGGUAAUGGCCUACCAAGGCUCCGAUCGGUA